GAGGUGUCGCGCCCUGUUACAUGCUACAUAGUUACAUGCAAUGCAAUUGCAUACCAAGCGUACAGUGGCAAUGGUACAUGUGCCAUUCUCCGUAUCACAAGUCAGUGUACUACAAAAAUGAUUUUGAAGCUGUUAUUUUAAGGUAAAAUUGUUACUUAAUGUUGAUUUAAAUGUGCUAUAUAAAUAAAGUUGACUUGUCUUGGUACUGGUCGAUUUUACUAGUAGCAGCAUUACACUCAGCAAGAGUACUGAAUAACUGAGACACACUCCUGUGCCACUAGUCUAUUUGUUGAAUGAAUAUAAUUAAUUCACAAAUAAAAGUCUACUGACAGAAAAUGACAUGAAUGUCGUGAUUUGUGUACCAAAUGGUUAUUUUCCAUCACUAAUUUAUUGGCCCUACAAAUGUUGACUAUAAAAAAACUCGAGUUCAUUUUAAAUCGGAACACUUCGAGGGUGAGUUAUCUACUCUUUAUCUGUGUAGUGAGUUGGAUUCAUCCCUUUCUUGUCUCACGUCACGGUACUCCAACAACUACUUAAUUAGUGGGCGCUGCUUGGAUGUGGCUAUAAAGGCCUGCGAGUUUGCUGCAGUGUGUGAGCUUGUGCACCGCGACCUCCCGUGCGGUGUAGUUUCCUGUUUCUCCUGCGGUAGGUUUUCGUCGCAUCUAGGUAGUUGCGUUGAAUUUUAAAGAUUAUACUUUGGACUUAAUUCGUCCUUUAUUGUAGCCUGGGGUUGUGGUCCUCUCCUCCACAGCGUGGUUGCUGUCACACUGGUCACCUUCUGUGUGGUGUGUGUGCUUAUUCUCACAACGUUGGUGUGAACCCUGGAGUAACAUACCAGUUAGCAUGCCUGCCAUAGCUUUUGUUUUCAUUAAUUUUGCGUCAAUCCCUCCCCUAUUGUGUUUGUCCAAUUUAACAGUGCUGUCUGUUUCGGCUUUGGUCUUUAAAAAGUAAACUCAUGGUGAUUUUUAACCUUUUCUGCUUUUGCACUAACCCGUCUCCAGUCUUUCGAGGUCCACCUCUUCCUGGGCAAGCAUACUGGUCAUACUUACGUUAUUUUUCUGUGGUGUUUUAACCUGUUUCAAAGGCUGGUGUGUGUGCCUUAUUGAACAUUAGUUUAACAUUCUGUGGGUGAAAUUCCCAGGGUGGAGUGGUCUGGCUACUUGUAGUACAGGGCUACGCUUUCUUGCCUUCUGUGAGGCACACGGUGAUGACAUACAAGUGCAGACAGCGUUUACUUGUAUUGAAUCUUGACUUUUGUCCCCAAGUGAUUUGUUAAUUUUGCCUUUUUUUACAGUUAGUAUGGCCUUUGACGUGAGGUGGCUAGCGGGCUGAUGUUAGCUUCCCUUUAGCGCCCUGUGAUUGAAAUUGUAGUUCGGAUGGUUUGGGAUUGCGAUGUUGGUACAUCAAAAUGAACGAAUGCAGUACGUGAUGCCCAUAGGAAUUAAACUGGGACAUAAUUAUUUGUUUUCCCCCUGCCGUCUGUUAAUGAAAUUCCUCGAUGUGGCUCGAGUGCGAAUAACACUCGAUGAUGAAACUUCACAGACCUGUACUGAAUGGUAGUGAUUGCACCUUUUUAUUUUCUGAUGAGAUUAUUCAGAGCCGUACGACGAGUGUGUUGUAGGCCUACUGUUUUCACCACAGUAUCCCACGUAACGUCUUUUGAUAUUCGUGCAUCUUGGC
Clupea harengus (Atlantic herring) is the source of this 1680-nucleotide long non-coding RNA. The record is from Ensembl. Lineage: Eukaryota; Metazoa; Chordata; Actinopteri; Clupeiformes; Clupeidae.